UGGGGAAUAUUGCACAAUGGGGGAAACCCUGAUGCAGCGACGCCGCGUGGAGGAAGAAGGUCUUCGGAUUGUAAACUCCUGUUGUUGAGGAAGAUAAUGACGGUACUCAACAAGGAAGUGACGGCUAACUACGUGCCAGCAGCCGCGGUAAAACGUAGGUCACAAGCGUUGUCCGGAAUUACUGGGUGUAAAGGGAGCGCAGGCGGGCAGACAAGUUGGAAGUGAAAUCCAUGGGCUCAACCCAUGAACUGCUUUCAAAACUGUUUUUCUUGAGUAGUGCAGAGGUAGGCGGAAUUCCCGGUGUAGCGGUGGAAUGCGUAGAUAUCGGGAGGAACACCAGUGGCGAAGGCGGCUUGCUGGGCUUUUACUGACGCUGAGGCACGAAAGUGUGGGGAGCAAACAGGAUUAGAUACCCUGGUAGUCCACACCGUAAACGAUGAUUACUAGGUGUAGGCCGGCUGAACCGGUCUGUGCCGCAGUUAACACAAUAAGUAAUCCACCUGGGGAGUACGGCCGCAAGGUUGAAACUCAAAGGAGUUGACGGGGGCCCGCACAAGCAGUGGAGUAUGUGGUUUAAUUCGAAGCAACGCGAAGAACCUUACCAGGCCUUGACAUCCCGAUGACCGGCUUAGAGAUAAGCCUUCUCUUCGGAGCAUCGGAGACAGGUGGUGCAUGGUUGUCGUCAGCUCGUGUCGUGAGAUGUUGGGUUAAGUCCCGCAACGAGCGCAACCCUUACGGUUAGUUGAUACGCAAGAGGACUCUGGCCAGACUGCCGUUGACAAAACGGAGGAAGGUGGGGAUGACGUCAAAUCAUCAUGCCCUUUAUGACUUGGGCUACACACGUACUACAAUGGCGUUAAACAAAGAGAAGCAAGACCGCGAGGUGGAGCAAAACUCAGAAACAACGUCCCAGUUCGGACUGCAGGCUGCAACUCGCCUGCACGAAGUCGGAAUUGCUAGUAAUCGUGGAUCAGCAUGCCACGGUGAAUACGUUCCC
This 997-nucleotide ribosomal RNA is filed under the name uncultured bacterium. RNAcentral describes it as "bacterial SSU rRNA". It matches the Rfam family "Bacterial small subunit ribosomal RNA", at positions 355 to 1375 of the family's 1533-position model. The record is from RNAcentral.